ACGAACGCUGGCGGCGUGCUUCACACCUGCAAGUCGAACGAAGAGCGAUGGAAGCUUGCUUCUAUCAAUCUUAGUGGCGAACGGGUGAGUAACGCGUAAUCAACCUGCCCUUCAGAGGGGGACAACAGUUGGAAACGACUGCUAAUACCGCAUACGAUCUAAUCUCGGCAUCGAGGAUAGAUGAAAGGUGGCCUCUACAUGUAAGCUAUCACUGAAGGAGGGGAUUGCGUCUGAUUAGCUAGUUGGAGGGGUAACGGCCCACCAAGGCGAUGAUCAGUAGCCGGUCUGAGAGGAUGAACGGCCACAUUGGGACUGAGACACGGCCCAGACUCCUACGGGAGGCAGCAGUGGGGAAUCUUCCGCAAUGGACGAAAGUCUGACGGAGCAACGCCGCGUGAGUGAUGACGGCCUUCGGGUUGUAAAGCUCUGUUAAUCGGGACGAAAGGCCUUCUUGCGAAUAGUGAGAAGGAUUGACGGUACCGGAAUAGAAAGCCACGGCUAACUACGUG
Molecule: ribosomal RNA, 509 nt
Filed under: uncultured bacterium
Lineage: Bacteria
Description: partial 16S ribosomal RNA
Rfam family: Bacterial small subunit ribosomal RNA
Source: RNAcentral